This 235-nucleotide unclassified non-coding RNA is filed under the name plant metagenome. RNAcentral's name for it is "partial contains small subunit ribosomal RNA, internal transcribed spacer 1, and 5.8S ribosomal RNA". The stretch from base 1 to 54 matches the Rfam family "Eukaryotic small subunit ribosomal RNA", at positions 1778 to 1831 of the family's 1831-position model. The record is from RNAcentral.
GGGAGUAAAAGUCGUAACAAGGUUUCCGUAGGUGAACCUGCGGAAGGAUCAUUCAUAAUAAGUGUUUUAUGGCACUUUUUUAAAUCCAUAUCCACCUUGUGUGCAAUGUCAGGGUUGAUUUUUCUCUCGAGAGGAUCAACCCCAAACAUCAACUAUAUCUCAACUCUUUGUCUGAAAAAUAUUAUGAAUAAAACAAUUCAGAAUACAACUUUCAACAACGGAUCUCUUGGCUCUC